UCGAACGAGAAAGGUUUCUUCGGAAACCGAGUAAAGUGGCGAACGGGUGAGUAAUGCAUAGAUAACUUGCCCCCGAGAUGGGGAUAACGUCUCGAAAGGGACGCUAAUACCCAGUGUCGUCUUGAGCCUUCGGGUUCAGGAUGAAAGGAGGCCUCUGACUCAAGCUUCCGCUCGGGGAGAGGUUUAUGUCCUAUUAGCUAGUUGGUGAGGUAACGGCUCACCAAGGCCAAGAUGGGUAGCCGACCUGAGAGGGUGACCGGCCACAUUGGGACUGAGACACUGCCCAGACUCCUACGGGAGGCUGCAGUCGAGAAUCUUCCGCAAUGCGCGCAAGCGUGACGGAGCGACGCCGCGUGGGUGAUGAAGGCCUUCGGGUUGUAAAACCCUGUCAGCUGCUAGGAAACGCGGGCGGUGAACAACUGUCCCGCUUGACCAUGUAGCAGAGGAAGCACCGGCUAAAUACGUGCCAGCAGCCGCGGUAAUACGUAUGGUGCAAACGUUGUUCGGAAUCACUGGGCCUAAAGAGCGCGUAGGCGGCUGAGCAAGUCGGAUGUGAAAUCCCCCGGCUCAACUGGGGAACUGCAUUUGAUACUGCUUGGCUAGAGUGCAGGAGGGGAGAGUGGAAUUCCUGGUGGAGCGGUGAAAUGCGUAGAUAUCAGGAGGAACGCCGGUGGCGAAAGCGACUCUCUGGUCUGCA
This 697-nucleotide ribosomal RNA is filed under the name uncultured bacterium. RNAcentral's name for it is "bacterial SSU rRNA". It matches the Rfam family "Bacterial small subunit ribosomal RNA", at positions 62 to 738 of the family's 1533-position model. The record is from RNAcentral.